This is a small nuclear RNA of 145 nucleotides. Its record names the gene U4. It matches the Rfam family "U4 spliceosomal RNA". From Rfam's summary of the family: U4 small nuclear RNA (U4 snRNA) is a component of the major U2-dependent spliceosome. The structure of U4 snRNA from yeast and human has been reported. The record is from Ensembl.
AGCUUUGCACAGUGGCAGUAUCGUAGCCAGUGAAGUUUUUCUGGGGCACAGUUAUUGCUAAUUAAAAAUUGCUAGUAUUUUGCUGCAAUUUUUCAUCUUCUCCAUCUUAUUAGAAAUGUUGGCCAAUAGUCAUCUUCCUUUGAGA